UCUGUUGCUCACUUGGUUUGUCGUCCUGUGCUUUGGAGGGGGUGCGUCACUCUGCAUGACUCAUCUUCCUCCCUGAGUCUGCUAUGCUGUGCUGAGUCUCUUCACUGCAGGCUGCUCUUUAACCCCCUACUCUCUGUUUUCAUGUUGUAGUCUGAUAAGACAAAAGUGAGCACAGAAAAAUGUUAGUCCAGCCCUCACUUCCUGGACUUUGCCCCAGCCUGUGCUUCAGCUAGGACAAAGAUGAUCCUGCAGCCGGACAGGAUUAUGUUCUAGAUCAGUGAUGACGAACCUUUUUGAGCGUUCUGCAGAGAGGAGUAGUAGCUGGAAAAAAUCCUCAUGACGGUCUGGGACGGAUGGAGAAGAAAAAGGAAAGUGACCGAUUCCAAUCAGAAAAGACAUCACCUGAUGUUACUCGAUGGGUUUCAAGGUUAGCCAAUUACAGUUUCACCAUCAAGUACAGAAGCAGCAAGUCAAAUUGCAAUGCCAAUGUACUGUCUCAGAUGACCCCUGGCAAAGAACCACCUGUCGAUGACGUGUAAGAAGACGUGGAGAUGCCCCCAUUUUAUCAACGGUUCGUGAACCAGAGUGUUGUGACCGCCCUAUUUGAAGUUCUCCACAAGUGUCCUUGGCUUUUGGACAUCUCUUCUGAUUAUUCUUUUCUCUCUCUGUCAGAAAUCUUGUGAGGAGCACCUACCUGAUCGAGGUAAAUUUAUGGUGAAAUUAUUGUCCUUCCAUUUCUGUAUUAUGGCCCCAGCAGAGCUCACUGGAACAUUGAGAAGCUUAGAAAUGUGCCUGUAACCAAUGUCAUUGUUAUGUUUUGUAACAAUUAGGUUGUGAAGGUCUGGAGACAGCUCUUUGCUUUUACCCAUCAUGAGAUGUGUCUUGUGUGAAACCUCGGCAAUGAGACCUUUUUGUAGCCUUCAGUUGGGACUGAACCAGCUGAUAUUAAUUUGCACUGACAGGGGGCUUGAUUGCUUUUUAAUUACU
Molecule: long non-coding RNA, 987 nt
Organism: Hyla sarda
Lineage: Eukaryota; Metazoa; Chordata; Amphibia; Anura; Hylidae
Exons: 3
Source: RefSeq, a predicted model, not a curated record